RNAcentral lists this long non-coding RNA (1299 nucleotides) under Astyanax mexicanus (Mexican tetra). Its description in RNAcentral is "lncRNA (ENSAMXG00005011129.1)". Lineage: Eukaryota; Metazoa; Chordata; Actinopteri; Characiformes; Acestrorhamphidae. The record is from RNAcentral.
GUAAUUCUCUGGUUGGGUUUAGUACUUUAUCAAUAAGUAUAUUGCUACUGUUCCCAAAAUGCUUAGAUUAGUGAAGUAUUUUUAUGCUUUUAAAAUAAAAAAUAGAUUUUAUAUGUAUUGACAAACUCCUAAUGUUUCUGUCUGGCUUGUGAUUUAAAUGCUAUUUUAUUCUUAUUUACAGAAGAUUUCUCUUUAACCAGGAGCCAUGUCGACUCCCAGAGGACAGGGUCAGGAUAACCUCAACCAACAAUCAACCUCAACAAAUGAUGAAAACGAAGCCAAGGAAGAUCUGAGAUCUUCGAGUUAUCUCCUUACACACGACUCUGUGGAAGUGCAGUCUGAAAUCUGUCCACUUCCAGCAGAAAACGAAGGAAUUCCAGACUCUCAGUCGCUGGAGAAACUGGGAGAAACUGAGCUGAACGCUCAUGUUAGCAUGUCUAUUGAACAUUUUGUGGUUGAAUCUGGAAGCUCUGAGGUCCAGAACUUGUUGGCCCAAAGUUCUGAGUCAUCGUUCUCUAAACUUAAAGCUGGCACUGAUGCCCAAAGCGAAAACUCUUCUCCACGACACGCUCAAGAGACAUGCAACCAGCAGUCAUCCUCCUCUCCUAGUGAAGAAAACCGUGUGCCGACCCGAAACAACGAAUCGUCUCAACCGCAAACUUCUGUUCCCACGGCUAAUGAAGGUUUUGGGCCAGAAUCUGCAAACACCAGUGCCCAAAAUGAGCCUGCCCAAAACUUUGAAUUAUCUCGUUCCCAAGUUGCUGUUGGAACAGCUACUCAGGAUUUUGGGCCUGAAUUGGGAAGGACCAGUGCCCGAAACACUGAAUCAUCAUCAUCAUCAUCAUCGUACGUGAAUCAUGAGAGUUUUGGGCCUGAAUCUGGAAAAAUUUUGGCCCAAAAUACCAAACUAUCUCAUUCCCAAGCUGAUGUUGCAAUAGCUACAGAGAACUGUGUGCAAGAACCGGCAAAUACCAGUGCGCAAAAUGUUCCGGCCCAAAACUCUGAAUCCUUUAAAGUCCUGAGCGCUGAGCUGAGUUUGCAGGUCCCUCAGGCUGCUGUGGAGCUGGAGGCCAGCGGGGUUCGGGACAGUGCUCUGGGUCUGAGUGGAGUCCACUCUGGUUCUGAAGUGCUUCGGGCCGAGAGUGUUCAGGAGUGUCUCUGUGAUGCUGUUCCUCUACACAGUCAGCUGUGGAGCGCUCUGACCCUGCAAGACCCGUCAACUCCCAGAAACAAAGCUCUCAACAGCAGCGCCCUGCAGGUAAGAGCUGAGGAUAAGAACUCAGAUCUAUAUCAGAAUUU